RNAcentral lists this signal recognition particle RNA (89 nucleotides) under marine eukaryotic metagenome. RNAcentral describes it as "Bacterial small signal recognition particle RNA". It matches the Rfam family "Bacterial small signal recognition particle RNA". Rfam says of the family: The signal recognition particle (SRP) is a universally conserved ribonucleoprotein involved in the co-translational targeting of proteins to membranes. Archaeal SRP consists of a 7S RNA and homologues of the eukaryotic SRP19 and SRP54 proteins. The record is from RNAcentral.
CGGUCCCCUCGCAACGACAGGUUGUGAACUCCGCCAGGCCCGGAAGGGAGCAACGGUAGCAGCGGACUCGUGUGCCGAGGUGUGGCUGG